AAUUCAAAGCUUUCAUAACGACCACCGCAAGCAUGAAGAAAUGGAUUCUGAAAACGGUGAGUCGUUUCUUAUACAGCACGUGAAUCCAUAACCCAGUAAGACCAAUAUAAACGAGGGAAAACAAGAAAAAAACCCUAGGGAGAAUAGUCUUGCCGGCAGAGAGGUAAUCGCGGUUACCGUUCCUUUCGAGAUUGUACAUCGCUGAGUUGACGUCCAUGGAUACCUUAAUCGAAUUCAAGCAAUUAGCAAAAACAAGAGUAUACUGAUCGGCGUCGUUUUCAACGACGAAUACAGAGAAGUUGCUCCUGCCGUUUUCGAGAUUCUUGAAUGUGAAGACAUGUUUGAUGAGAUCCGACUGUAGAGCACAAGAGAUCUCGCUGUCCUCUAUCUGCUGGACCACGUGGAGCCAGGAGUCUCGGGUGCAGAGGAAGAAUCCGACCUUGGAAAGGUCGAGAUCAGGGUUUGGGUUAGAAAGCUGAAUGUCAGAGACGUUGAGCUCGAGUUGACC
This 508-nucleotide unclassified non-coding RNA is filed under the name Hevea brasiliensis (rubber tree). The record is from RNAcentral. Lineage: Eukaryota; Viridiplantae; Streptophyta; Magnoliopsida; Malpighiales; Euphorbiaceae.